Molecule: ribosomal RNA, 1501 nt
Filed under: Lactiplantibacillus plantarum
Lineage: Bacteria; Bacillati; Bacillota; Bacilli; Lactobacillales; Lactobacillaceae
Description: bacterial SSU rRNA
Rfam family: Bacterial small subunit ribosomal RNA
Source: RNAcentral
AGAGUUUGAUCCUGGCUCAGGAUGAGACGAACGCUGGCGGCGUGCCUAAUACAUGCAAGUCGAACGAACUUGAUUUACAUUUGAGUGAGUGGCGAACUGGUGAGUAACACGUGGGAAACCUGCCCAGAAGCGGGGGAUAACACCUGGAAACAGAUGCUAAUACCGCAUAACAACUUGGACCGCAUGGUCCGAGUUUGAAAGAUGGCUUCGGCUAUCACUUUUGGAUGGUCCCGCGGCGUAUUAGCUAGAUGGUGGGGUAACGGCUCACCAUGGCAAUGAUACGUAGCCGACCUGAGAGGGUAAUCGGCCACAUUGGGACUGAGACACGGCCCAAACUCCUACGGGAGGCAGCAGUAGGGAAUCUUCCACAAUGGACGAAAGUCUGAUGGAGCAACGCCGCGUGAGUGAAGAAGGGUUUCGGCUCGUAAAACUCUGUUGUUAAAGAAGAACAUAUCUGAGAGUAACUGUUCAGGUAUUGACGGUAUUUAACCAGAAAGCCACGGCUAACUACGUGCCAGCAGCCGCGGUAAUACGUAGGUGGCAAGCGUUGUCCGGAUUUAUUGGGCGUAAAGCGAGCGCAGGCGGUUUUUUAAGUCUGAUGUGAAAGCCUUCGGCUCAACCGAAGAAGUGCAUCGGAAACUGGGAAACUUGAGUGCAGAAGAGGACAGUGGAACUCCAUGUGUAGCGGUGAAAUGCGUAGAUAUAUGGAAGAACACCAGUGGCGAAGGCGGCUGUCUGGUCUGUAACUGACGCUGAGGCUCGAAAGUAUGGGUAGCAAACAGGAUUAGAUACCCUGGUAGUCCAUACCGUAAACGAUGAAUGCUAAGUGUUGGAGGGUUUCCGCCCUUCAGUGCUGCAGCUAACGCAUUAAGCAUUCCGCCUGGGGAGUACGGCCGCAAGGCUGAAACUCAAAGGAAUUGACGGGGGCCCGCACAAGCGGUGGAGCAUGUGGUUUAAUUCGAAGCUACGCGAAGAACCUUACCAGGUCUUGACAUACUAUGCAAAUCUAAGAGAUUAGACGUUCCCUUCGGGGACAUGGAUACAGGUGGUGCAUGGUUGUCGUCAGCUCGUGUCGUGAGAUGUUGGGUUAAGUCCCGCAACGAGCGCAACCCUUAUUAUCAGUUGCCAGCAUUAAGUUGGGCACUCUGGUGAGACUGCCGGUGACAAACCGGAGGAAGGUGGGGAUGACGUCAAAUCAUCAUGCCCCUUAUGACCUGGGCUACACACGUGCUACAAUGGAUGGUACAACGAGUUGCGAACUCGCGAGAGUAAGCUAAUCUCUUAAAGCCAUUCUCAGUUCGGAUUGUAGGCUGCAACUCGCCUACAUGAAGUCGGAAUCGCUAGUAAUCGCGGAUCAGCAUGCCGCGGUGAAUACGUUCCCGGGCCUUGUACACACCGCCCGUCACACCAUGAGAGUUUGUAACACCCAAAGUCGGUGGGGUAACCUUUUAGGAACCAGCCGCCUAAGGUGGGACAGAUGAUUAGGGUGAAGGAUUGGGGU